RNAcentral lists this ribosomal RNA (253 nucleotides) under uncultured bacterium. RNAcentral's name for it is "partial 16S ribosomal RNA". It matches the Rfam family "Bacterial small subunit ribosomal RNA", at positions 524 to 776 of the family's 1533-position model. The record is from RNAcentral.
UACGUAGGGGGCAAGCGUUGUCCGGAAUCAUUGGGCGUAAAGAGCGUGUAGGCGGCCCGGUUAGUCCGCUGUGAAAGUCGGGGGCUCAACCCUCGAAUGCCGGCGGAUACUGUCGGGCUAGAGUCCGGAAGAGGCGAGUGGAAUUCCUGGUGUAGCGGUGAAAUGCGCAGAUAUCAGGAGGAACACCAACGGCGAAGGCAGCUCGCUGGGACGGUACUGACGCUGAGGCGCGAAAGCCAGGGGAGCGAACGGG